CCGCCCGGGAUGAGCUAAUAAUGGAAGCAAUUUGUAACUUUCAGUAGCUCUCUAGGCCUGGGUACCGGAGGGAGGGAGGCGGGCAGAGGAGGGGAGAUGGGCACCCCCAGUCUUUCCAUCCUCCUCAUUCGUCUAGGGGCACCCGAAUCCCCUAUUCCUUAUUUCCCCUAUCACUCAGGCACUGGCAGGGUCCUUUGCCCACUCCUGUUGGCCGCUGCGGCUCCAAAGCGAGCUGGGCAGAUGUGCCUGACACAGGUUUGACCAGGCAACUGAAAAGACAUCUCUAAGAGAAGACAAAGCAAAGGUAUGAAAGGAACACACGUCCCUGACUGACUAGGAGGAACAGAGCUGCCUGCUAUCUGGAACAACUUCCUCCCAGACUAAGUGAGAAAUAAACUUCUGUUUUCUAUAUG
RNAcentral lists this long non-coding RNA (413 nucleotides) under Homo sapiens (human). RNAcentral's name for it is "HSALNT0352134". Lineage: Eukaryota; Metazoa; Chordata; Mammalia; Primates; Hominidae. The record is from RNAcentral.